RNAcentral lists this ribosomal RNA (253 nucleotides) under uncultured bacterium. RNAcentral's name for it is "partial 16S ribosomal RNA". It matches the Rfam family "Bacterial small subunit ribosomal RNA", at positions 524 to 776 of the family's 1533-position model. The record is from RNAcentral.
UACGGAGGGGGCUAGCGUUGUUCGGAAUUACUGGGCGUAAAGCGCACGUAGGCGGUCUUUUAAGUCGGGGGUGAAAUCCUGGAGCUCAACUCCAGAACUGCCUUCGAUACUGGAAGACUCGAGUCCGGGAGAGGUGAGUGGAACUGCGAGUGUAGAGGUGAAAUUCGUAGAUAUUCGCAAGAACACCAGUGGCGAAGGCGGCUCACUGGCCCGGUACUGACGCUGAGGUGCGAAAGCGUGGGGAGCAAACAGG